UACGUAGGGUGCAAGCGUUAAUCGGAAUUACUGGGCGUAAAGCGUGCGCAGGCGGUUUUGUAAGUCUGACGUGAAAUCCCCGGGCUCAACCUGGGAAUUGCGAUGGAGACUGCAAGGCUUGAAUCUGGCAGAGGGGGGUAGAAUUCCACGUGUAGCAGUGAAAUGCGUAGAGAUGUGGAGGAACACCGAUGGCGAAGGCAGCCCCCUGGGUCAAGAUUGACGCUCAUGCACGAAAGCGUGGGGAGCAAACAGG
This 253-nucleotide ribosomal RNA is filed under the name uncultured bacterium. RNAcentral describes it as "partial 16S ribosomal RNA". It matches the Rfam family "Bacterial small subunit ribosomal RNA", at positions 524 to 776 of the family's 1533-position model. The record is from RNAcentral.